This 420-nucleotide unclassified non-coding RNA is filed under the name Vibrio vulnificus. Its description in RNAcentral is "16S-23S ribosomal RNA intergenic spacer". The stretch from base 67 to 139 matches the Rfam family "tRNA". Lineage: Bacteria; Pseudomonadati; Pseudomonadota; Gammaproteobacteria; Vibrionales; Vibrionaceae. The record is from RNAcentral.
AUACGAUGAUUAUUGCGAUGAGUGUUCACACAGAUUGAUGGUUUAUAACGUUAUAGAGAUAGAUGUGGGGCUAUAGCUCAGCUGGGAGAGCGCUUGCAUGGCAUGCAAGAGGUCGACGGUUCGAUCCCGUCUAGCUCCACCAUUACUAAAGGUUUUCAUUUAGAAUCUUUAAUAAUGGUUUCGAAAGAAAUCUGCUCUUUAACAAUUUGGAAAGCUGACAAAACAACAAUUUAUUGUUGUUUGUAAAGUUCUCAAUGUUUGUCUUUAAGACAAACACCAACAAACACAUUCAAGUGUUCUUGGGAAUGUCACUUAUAGUGACUAUUCGAAAUUGAGUCCGGCAAAAUCAACGCUAUCUCGCUCAUUCAAAUAAUGAGAUAGCAACUUUGGUUGUUUAACAAAGACCCUUUGGGGUUGUAU